Molecule: non-coding RNA, 31 nt
Filed under: Homo sapiens (human)
Lineage: Eukaryota; Metazoa; Chordata; Mammalia; Primates; Hominidae
Source: RNAcentral
UGGUCACUGUGGCCAGAGGGUNUUGGCCUGC